RNAcentral lists this non-coding RNA (27 nucleotides) under Cricetulus griseus (Chinese hamster). Lineage: Eukaryota; Metazoa; Chordata; Mammalia; Rodentia; Cricetidae. The record is from RNAcentral.
AAACACAAGCUAAGGAAAUCUGUUUUU